CACGUAGGGGGCAAGCGUUAUCCGGAUUCAUUGGGCGUAAAGCGCGCGUAGGCGGCCCGCCAAGCAGGACCUCUAACCUCAGGGCCUAACCCUGAGCCGGGUCCUGGACUGGCGAGCUCGAGUUCGGUAGAGGAAGGCGGAAUUCCCGGUGUAGCGGUGAAAUGCGCAGAUAUCGGGAAGAACACCGAUGGCGAAGGCAGCCUUCUGGGCCGCGACUGACGCUGAGGCGCGAAAGCUGGGGGAGCAAACA
Molecule: ribosomal RNA, 250 nt
Filed under: uncultured bacterium
Lineage: Bacteria
Description: partial 16S ribosomal RNA
Rfam family: Bacterial small subunit ribosomal RNA
Source: RNAcentral